GAUGAACGCUGGCGGCGUGCCUAAUACAUGCAAGUCGAGCGAACAGACGAGGAGCUUGCUCCUCUGACGUUAGCGGCGGACGGGUGAGUAACACGUGGAUAACCUACCUAUAAGACUGGGAUAACUUCGGGAAACCGGAGCUAAUACCGGAUAAUAUAUUGAACCGUAUGGUUCAAUAGUGAAAGACGGUUUUGCUGUCACUUAUAGAUGGAUCCGCGCCGCAUUAGCUAGUUGGUAAGGUAACGGCUUACCAAGGCGACGAUGCGUAGCCGACCUGAGAGGGUGAUCGGCCACACUGGAACUGAGACACGGUCCAGACUCCUACGGGAGGCAGCAGUAGGGAAUCUUCCGCAAUGGGCGAAAGCCUGACGGAGCAACGCCGCGUGAGUGAUGAAGGUCUUCGGAUCGUAAAACUCUGUUAUUAGGGAAGAACAAAUGUGUAAGUAACUAUGCACGUCUUGACGGUACCUAAUCAGAAAGCCACGGCUAACUACGUG
RNAcentral lists this ribosomal RNA (497 nucleotides) under uncultured bacterium. RNAcentral's name for it is "partial 16S ribosomal RNA". It matches the Rfam family "Bacterial small subunit ribosomal RNA", at positions 28 to 507 of the family's 1533-position model. The record is from RNAcentral.